This 71-nucleotide transfer RNA is filed under the name Candidatus Iainarchaeum sp. RNAcentral describes it as "tRNA-Gly". It matches the Rfam family "tRNA". From Rfam's summary of the family: Transfer RNA (tRNA) molecules are approximately 80 nucleotides in length. Their secondary structure includes four short double-helical elements and three loops (D, anti-codon, and T loops). Further hydrogen bonds mediate the characteristic L-shaped molecular structure. tRNAs have two regions of fundamental functional importance: the anti-codon, which is responsible for specific mRNA codon recognition, and the 3' end, to which the tRNAs corresponding amino acid is attached (by aminoacyl-tRNA synthetases). tRNAs cope with the degeneracy of the genetic code in two manners: having more than one tRNA (with a specific anti-codon) for a particular amino acid; and 'wobble' base-pairing, i.e. permitting non-standard base-pairing at the 3rd anti-codon position. Lineage: Archaea; Nanobdellati; Candidatus Iainarchaeota; Candidatus Iainarchaeia; Candidatus Iainarchaeales; Candidatus Iainarchaeaceae. The record is from RNAcentral.
GCAGUCGUAGCGUAGUGGUAGCGUUCGAGCCUUCCAAGCUCGAGGCCCGGGUUCGACCCCCGGCGACUGCA